CGUAGGAGCAAGCGUUGUCCGGAAUCAUUGGGCGUAAGCGCGCGUAGGCGGCCUCAUAAGUCCGUUGUGAAAGUCAAAGGCUCAACCUUUGAAGCCGAUGGAUACUGUGAGGCUAGAGUCCGGAAGAGGCGAGUGGAAUUCCUGGUGUAGCGGUGGAAUGCGCAGAUAUCAGGAGGAACACCAAUAGCGAAGGCAGCUCGCUGGGACGGUACUGACGCUAAAGGCGCGAAAGCGUGGGAGCGAACAGGAUU
RNAcentral lists this ribosomal RNA (251 nucleotides) under uncultured bacterium. RNAcentral's name for it is "partial 16S ribosomal RNA". It matches the Rfam family "Bacterial small subunit ribosomal RNA", at positions 526 to 779 of the family's 1533-position model. The record is from RNAcentral.